AACCUAGCACACCUGCGGUGUGUACCUGCGGAGGGAUCAUUACACUCAGUAGAUUCUUCUACUGCUCGGGGAGAGGGGAAAGUCUCUCCAGUCUGCUUCGGCGGCUGGCGAACGAGUACGCUCUCUUUUCGAACCCUUGUCUUUUUGCGUACUUCAUGUUUCCUCGGUGGGCUUGCCCGCCGGUUGGACAACUCAAUAACCUAUUUUAAUUUUCAAUCAGCGUCUGAAUAAAAUUAUAAU
Molecule: unclassified non-coding RNA, 240 nt
Filed under: soil metagenome
Description: partial contains 5.8S ribosomal RNA, internal transcribed spacer 2, and large subunit ribosomal RNA
Source: RNAcentral